AAUGAACGCUGGCGGCAGGCCUAACACAUGCAAGUCGAACGGAGUUAUAUUGUAGCUUGCUAUGGUAUAACUUANUGGCAGACGGGUGAGUAAUGUAUAGGAAUCUACCUAGUAGUACGGAAUAAUUGUUGGAAACGGCAACUAAUACCGUAUACGCCCUACGGGGGAAAAAUUUAUUGCUAUUAGAUGAGCCUAUAUUAGAUUAGUUAGUUGGUGAGGUAAAGGCUUACCAAGACAAUGAUCUAUAGCUGAUCUGAGAGGAUGAUCAGCCACACUGGAACUGAGAUACGGUCCAGACUCCUACGGGAGGCAGCAGUGGGGAAUAUUGGACAAUGGGCGAAAGCCUGAUCCAGCCAUGCCGCAUGAGUGAAGAAGGCCUUCGGGUUGUAAAGCUCUUUUAGUGAGGAAGAUAAUGACGGUACUCACAGAAGAAGUCCUGGCUAACUCCGUGCCAGCAGCCGCGGUAAUACGGAGAGGGCUAGCGUUAUUCGGAAUCAUUGGGCGUAAAGGGCGCGUAGGCGGGUUAGUAAGUUAAAAGUGAAAUCCCAAGGCUCAACCUUGGAACUGCUUUUAAAACUGCUAGUCUAGAGAUUGAAAGAGGAUAGAGGAAUUCCUAGUGUAGAGAUGAAAUUCGUAAAUAUUAGGAGGAACACCAGUGGCG
Molecule: ribosomal RNA, 661 nt
Filed under: uncultured Hyphomicrobiales bacterium
Lineage: Bacteria; Pseudomonadati; Pseudomonadota; Alphaproteobacteria; Hyphomicrobiales
Description: bacterial SSU rRNA
Rfam family: Bacterial small subunit ribosomal RNA
Source: RNAcentral